Molecule: small nuclear RNA, 107 nt
Filed under: Saimiri boliviensis boliviensis (Bolivian squirrel monkey)
Lineage: Eukaryota; Metazoa; Chordata; Mammalia; Primates; Cebidae
Source: RNAcentral
GUGCUCGCUUCGGCAGCACAUAUACUAAAAUUAGAACGAUACAGAGAAGAUUAGCAUGGCCCCUGUGCAAAGAUGACACGCAAAUUCAUGAAGCGUUCCAUUAAAAA